Molecule: ribosomal RNA, 477 nt
Filed under: uncultured bacterium
Lineage: Bacteria
Description: bacterial SSU rRNA
Rfam family: Bacterial small subunit ribosomal RNA
Source: RNAcentral
AGUCAACGUUGGCGGCGUGCGUAACACAUGCAAGUCGAACGAUCCUUAGGUGGCUUGCCAUUUAAGGAGAGUGGCGAACGGGUGAGUAACACGUGAGCAAUCUGCCCUCGAGUGGGGAACAACCUCGCGAAAGCGGGGCUAAUACCGCAUAACACUCUGAAGCAUAAGCUUUCAGAGUCAAAGCCUUCGGGUGCUUGAGGAUGAGCUUGCGCCUUAUUAGCUAGUUGGUGGGGUAACGGCCUACCAAGGUAAUGAUGAGUAGCCGGCCUGAGAGGGUGUACGGCCACACUGGAACUGCGACACGGUCCAGACUCCUACGGGAGGCAGCAGUGGGGAAUUUUGCGCAAUGGGCGAAAGCCUGACGCAGCGACGCCGCGUGGAGGAUGAAGGCCUUCGGGUUGUAAACUCCUGUCAGAGGUGAAGAAUGCCCUUCGGGGUUUGACGGUAACCUCAGAGGAAGCCCCGGCUAACUACGUG